UUCUAGGUGGAGUCGUUUGUGAUUAUGUGGUAUGCCGUAGAACCGCAUCAAUGACUUUUUCGCUUUGUCAAUACGCCCCGCGCGAUAAUCAUAACGGGGGGAGUCUGGGAAAAACAACACCCCAAUGCCCAGGAUCAAUAUCCUGAUGAAAGUUACCCCGAGCGGAAUCCGCCAGGCACCGCUAUCCGAACGGUUUCCAGUACCCAAAUUGAUGCAGUUAGCAGAUAAAAUGCCCAGGGUAUUGAAAAGCUGAUAGCAGCUAUGAGAAUCGAUUAGUUUACCCAUUCACACUCGGAAGGCAUCGUGCUAGCGAUGGAGCAAACCUUAUAAUAGCACCACGAAUAUGCCGUGGGGCGCUCUCGCUCUGAUAUAGUGGAACCAGCACCGAAAGCGCACCGACACCAAGACCCGCAACCCAACGGCCAAGAACCACCUGAUACCAUUUAGGAUAUUCGGAAGUCAUUUGAAUAAUAACACCGACAAUAAUUAUCACACAGCAACCGGACAUUGUCCACUUCCGGCCAAACCUGUCGGCAAAAGACUACCAAAUGCCAACUAUGACAGAAGACAAUGUUCUUAAGGAAACAUAUGCAGGGCAAACAUACCAAGGCCACAAUUAGGCCAGCGCGAACACGUGAGAAAUGAUAGGUUUCGCCAGAGGCCUCGAGCUCACCGAACCGCCUUCUGAAAUCAUCCGUCUCCAGUACGCCUGCGAUCUGGCCAGUGUCAUAUCCAAAAAUGAACCCUCCCAUCGACACGGACAAGCCCAUAGCGAACGAGCGCCAUGUCAACGUAGGGAUCGGGGUAUCGACGAAGCCUUCGUCAAAUUCCACUAGGUCAUCUGAAGAAAGGUGAUUAUCUAAAGACUUCGACGGGACGCCUUUUCCUUUAAAAAAAAGCUUCUCAAAUUUCGAUUCCAUGAAGAGAAUUCAGUAGCAUACAGCGCUACAUUGCUAGUCAAUUUUUCCUGAGGAGCAGGAAGAAGAGAGAAAUACUUUUGGGCGGGGCGAUGCCGUACUGAACCAAAACACUAGGCAGGACCAUGGUUCUGCCAUGAAUUGAAUGAAUUGAACAGUCAAUCUCAACUUCGAAACAAGACGACAGUUAGUGAAUCUAUAUUUUUCAUAUCUGCUUGUCCCUUCUCUCGGAGGCCCCUGAGGAUACGACACAAACAGCUGCUAUAUCUUUAAUAUAGUAGUAGUGACCUGCUGUUCAGCUAUCGAGCUCAGUUUUUCGCAAUAUCAACAACCAGAAACGGACC
Molecule: small RNA, 1261 nt
Filed under: Histoplasma capsulatum var. duboisii H88
Lineage: Eukaryota; Fungi; Ascomycota; Eurotiomycetes; Onygenales; Ajellomycetaceae
Description: Histoplasma capsulatum H88 hypothetical RNA
Source: RNAcentral